This 73-nucleotide transfer RNA is filed under the name Bos taurus (domestic cattle). It matches the Rfam family "tRNA". Rfam says of the family: Transfer RNA (tRNA) molecules are approximately 80 nucleotides in length. Their secondary structure includes four short double-helical elements and three loops (D, anti-codon, and T loops). Lineage: Eukaryota; Metazoa; Chordata; Mammalia; Artiodactyla; Bovidae. RNAcentral also lists the same sequence under 2 other names. The record is from Rfam by way of RNAcentral.
UCCCAGGUGGCUUAGUGGGUAAAGAGUCUGCUUGUCAAUGCAGGAGACGCAGGUUUGAUCCCUGGGUUGGGAA